UACAGGGGGGGCAAGCGUUGUUCGGAAUUACUGGGCGUAAAGGGUCUGUAGGUGGCUUGCUAAGUCAGACGUGAAAUCCCUCAGCUUAACUGGGGAACUGCGUCUGAUACUGGCAAGCUUGAGUGCAGGAGAGGAACGCGGAAUUCCAGGUGUAGCGGUGAAAUGCGCAGAUAUCAGGAGGAACACCGGUGGCGAAGGCGGGUCUCUGGGCCGAUACUGACGCUGAGGAGCGAAAGCGUGGGGAGCGAACAGG
This 253-nucleotide ribosomal RNA is filed under the name uncultured bacterium. Its description in RNAcentral is "partial 16S ribosomal RNA". It matches the Rfam family "Bacterial small subunit ribosomal RNA", at positions 524 to 776 of the family's 1533-position model. The record is from RNAcentral.